UGUUAGAGUUAAAUAGCCCUACAUUAGAAUUGUGGGGUUAGAGCAGUCUCGAGAUGACAACACAAAUGGCCCCUCACAUUUCACACUUGAUGAGGAAAUGGAAUUCAAAGAAUUUGCGCAGAGGCCGGAUGCAUAUGCCAAGAUUUGUUCAAUGAUUGGCCCUUCAAUUUAUGGUCAUGGUGAUGUCAAGAAAGCUAUUGCGUGCCUCUUGUUUGGGGGAUCAAAGAAGAGGCUACCAGAUGGUGUCCGUUUGAGAGGGGACAUUCAUGCCUUGCUUUUGGGUGAUCCAUCCACAGCAAAAUCGCAG
Molecule: long non-coding RNA, 307 nt
Organism: Triticum aestivum (bread wheat)
Lineage: Eukaryota; Viridiplantae; Streptophyta; Magnoliopsida; Poales; Poaceae
Exons: 3
Source: RefSeq, a predicted model, not a curated record